CGGACGGGUGAGUAAUGUCUGGGAAACUGCCUGAUGGAGGGGGAUAACUACUGGAAACGGUAGCUAAUACCGCAUAACGUCGCAAGACCAAAGAGGGGGACCUUCGGGCCUCUUGCCAUCGGAUGCGCCCAGAUGGGAUUAGCUAGUAGGUGGGGUAAAGGCUCACCUAGGCGACGAUCCCUAGCUGGUCUGAGAGGAUGACCAGCCACACUGGAACUGAGACACGGUCCAG
RNAcentral lists this ribosomal RNA (232 nucleotides) under uncultured bacterium. RNAcentral's name for it is "partial 16S ribosomal RNA". It matches the Rfam family "Bacterial small subunit ribosomal RNA", at positions 99 to 334 of the family's 1533-position model. The record is from RNAcentral.